Molecule: transfer RNA, 73 nt
Filed under: Ovis aries (sheep)
Lineage: Eukaryota; Metazoa; Chordata; Mammalia; Artiodactyla; Bovidae
Rfam family: tRNA
About the family: Transfer RNA (tRNA) molecules are approximately 80 nucleotides in length. Their secondary structure includes four short double-helical elements and three loops (D, anti-codon, and T loops). Further hydrogen bonds mediate the characteristic L-shaped molecular structure. tRNAs have two regions of fundamental functional importance: the anti-codon, which is responsible for specific mRNA codon recognition, and the 3' end, to which the tRNAs corresponding amino acid is attached (by aminoacyl-tRNA synthetases). tRNAs cope with the degeneracy of the genetic code in two manners: having more than one tRNA (with a specific anti-codon) for a particular amino acid; and 'wobble' base-pairing, i.e. permitting non-standard base-pairing at the 3rd anti-codon position.
Source: Rfam by way of RNAcentral
UUCCAGAUAGUCCAGUGGUUAAGACUCUGCGCUUCCUAUGCAGAGGACACAGAUUCAAUCCCUGUUAGGGGAA